Molecule: non-coding RNA, 605 nt
Organism: Lonchura striata (white-rumped munia)
Lineage: Eukaryota; Metazoa; Chordata; Aves; Passeriformes; Estrildidae
Source: RefSeq, a predicted model, not a curated record
UUUUCUCUCAGUUUAAUAAUCAGAAGACCCAGCCACAAGCCUCGCAAGCCUGGUCUGCAGAGAUAAGGCAGAGUUGCUGUGCCUGGGGAGGAUGGUGGGGUGUGGACGGGCUGCUCCCCGCAGGAGCAGGGCUGCGCACCCCUAGGGCUGCUGGGGAGGGCACAGGAGACCCUCAGCCCGCCCCGGGGAGCGGCUCAGAGAAAGCAGAGAGUGCCAGAGCCCCCGGCUUCAGCGCUGGCUGCGGCUCUUCGCGGGCUCGCUCUCGCCUUUCAGCUUCGGCUGGAACGAUUUGCAGCUCAAACGCCCCCCUGAGAGCCGCUAACCUUUGGAUAAGGUUUGGCACCAUUAUCCUGCUUGGGUUAAUUGGGAGUUAGGGAGAGCCCAGGAGUGACGCGGCUGCUUCCAUCCGUCCGUCCGUCUGUCUGUCCGUCCGUCCACCCGCCCCUCCAGCCUUCCCCGGUGCGUUGCGGGCAGCGAUGGAGAGAGAAGCAGAGCCUCCAGAAACAGAGCUCCUUCACGCUAUCUUUCAUAACGAACUCGUCUUUGGAUGAAUAAAAAAAAAUAAUGUUAAUAAAACCGAAAAAUAAAUCGUUGGAUUAAUCCCU